Molecule: unclassified non-coding RNA, 1355 nt
Filed under: Hevea brasiliensis (rubber tree)
Lineage: Eukaryota; Viridiplantae; Streptophyta; Magnoliopsida; Malpighiales; Euphorbiaceae
Source: RNAcentral
AUUCCGCGGCAAGGAAUAGGUCAGAAUAGCAUUUAAUAUCUCAAGAACAAUUCUUAAGAAGUCGGUAUAAAUAUGCAGCUCAGCUGCCGUGUCUUCUUGGAGACUAUUUUCUUCCUUUGAUUCACCAUUGAGCACAUGCAUCUUAUCAUUUUUCAUCUCUGCCAAUUUGUUGUACUUGCGUGCAAGCAUGUCAAAUAGGCUCACUAAACGUUGUGAUGCAUAACCACUUAGGCGAUGUACAUGAGGUGCCAUAUUAGCUAAAGUUGCAAGGCAAUUUGUAUGAAGGUAAACAUCCCGCAACUUAGAUAGGUUGUAUUUCACUGUCCUCGUCAAAACUAUGACCAUAAGAGAACCAAGAGAGGUCUGAUGAAGAACACGCUCUUGGUACCAUGGAACACUGGGCAGCACCAGUUUAUGAAUGCUGGCAUUGAAUGAGGAAUCUUGGCUAAGUAUAAGAAGGAUAAUCAGCACCAUAUAUAUCUGAUUGGAUGUCCUCCUAGGUGCAUUAUACAGUGUUUCGAGCAAAGGCAUCAACAGUGUAUCCAGAUCAGUCCGCACCAACACAUACUCAAGAAAAUCUGAAUUCCCAUGAACGAGUGAAUAAAGCAGAAGUCCAGAAGUCUCAUCAGCCAAGCACAUGCCAAGGCUAUCAAAAAGAGAAGCAAAGGGUAAUCUCACAACCGGACCACCAGGUGCAUUCCCCUCAACAUCGACACGAUCAAAUUCAAUAUCCCGAGCAUUCUCAAGGGCCUUGCAGUAAGGAUUCUCAAAGAAGGAUUCUUCCUUUGGUAGUGAAUCUGUACUGCUGUAGUCAAUUUUAUCUUUGAAAUGGUCGAUGCCAAGACUCUUGCGGUAAUGAACAAGGAUGAGUAAAAUAUUAAGACUGUUGUCUGCCAAUGGGCUUCUGGAAGCUUCAUUGCUUGAACUUGCAAAGAAAUUCAACGGCAGCAGCACGAGAUUUGCUGCAACAGAGCCAACUCUCUGUAAAACUCCAGGACGAUAUCCUUCAGAAAAUAUAUAGUAUGAUGAAGCCUUCAGAGGGAAACGCGGCCGCGUGAUGUAGUUAACAAGCAGCUUACGUAUAGCCAGAUUGACCAAAGAAGUUGGCUGAGACAUUGCUGCAUCAAAGAAAGGAUGAAUAUCAUCUGCUCCAAGUGACGGCCCAGAAAGAAGCUGAGUUGAUAACGCAACAAGCAUGAAAUUAAGCAACUCGUAAUGUAGAAGAUAUGUAUCAGAGCUUACAUCUACCCUGCCAAGAAAAUUAAGCACACUAUUCACAACAAGAUGCUCAAUACUCUGUUCUUUAGGGACAUCACUUGGAAUUUCCUCACUUUCAUUCAGGGACAUGUAUAGAU